CCUGCAGUCAUCGACCUCAA
Molecule: small nuclear RNA, 20 nt
Filed under: Arabidopsis thaliana (thale cress)
Lineage: Eukaryota; Viridiplantae; Streptophyta; Magnoliopsida; Brassicales; Brassicaceae
Description: snRNA_00158
Source: RNAcentral